CUGUAGUCAUAAGUAAGCCAAUCAGGUUCCUCUCCUCACAGCUCCACUGUGCAAUGGCUGUGAAUAGCAGCAUUCUUGAGAGUAUAUACGACCUACUACUGUUUAUGUGAGCUGCUCUAAGGGACCAUGGCAACAGUG
Molecule: small nucleolar RNA, 138 nt
Organism: Phodopus roborovskii (desert hamster)
Lineage: Eukaryota; Metazoa; Chordata; Mammalia; Rodentia; Cricetidae
Product: small nucleolar RNA SNORA70
Exons: 1
Source: RefSeq, a predicted model, not a curated record